UACAGAGGUGCCAAGCGUUAGGCGGAAUCACUGGGCGUAAAGCGCACGUAGGCGGAUUGUUAAGUCAGGGGUGAAAUCCUGGAGCUCAACUCCAGAACUGCCUUUGAUACUGGCGAUCUUGAGUCCGGGAGAGGUGAGUGGAACUGCGAGUGUAGAGGUGAAAUUCGUAGAUAUUCGCAAGAACACCAGUGGCGAAGGCGGCUCACUGGCCCGGUACUGACGCUGAGGUGCGAAAGCGUGGGGAGCAAACAGG
This 253-nucleotide ribosomal RNA is filed under the name uncultured bacterium. Its description in RNAcentral is "partial 16S ribosomal RNA". It matches the Rfam family "Bacterial small subunit ribosomal RNA", at positions 524 to 776 of the family's 1533-position model. The record is from RNAcentral.